Molecule: ribosomal RNA, 253 nt
Filed under: uncultured bacterium
Lineage: Bacteria
Description: partial 16S ribosomal RNA
Rfam family: Bacterial small subunit ribosomal RNA
Source: RNAcentral
UACAGAGGUCCCGAGCGUUGUUCGGAUUUAUUGGGCGUAAAGGGUGCGUAGGUGGCAAAGUAAGUUGGAUGUGAAAUCCUGGGGCUUAACCUCAGAAUUGCAUUCAAUACUGCUUAGCUAGAGAGCUGUAGAGGAGACUGGAAUUUACGGUGUAGCAGUGAAAUGCGUAGAUAUCGUAAGGAACGCCAGUGGCGAAAGCGAGUCUCUGGGACGGUACUGACGCUGAGACGCGAAAGCGUGGGGAGCGAACAGG